GAUGAACGCUGGCGGCGUGCUUAACACAUGCAAGUCGAACGAAGCAUUUAGAACAGAUUAUUUCGGUAUGAAGUUCUUUAUGACUGAGUGGCGGACGGGUGAGUAACGCGUGGGUAACCUGCCUUGUACUGGGGGAUAGCAGCUGGAAACGGCUGGUAAUACCGCAUAAGCGCACGGUGCUGCAUGGCACAGUGUGAAAAACUCCGGUGGUAUAAGAUGGACCCGCGUCUGAUUAGCUAGUUGGUGAGAUAACAGCCCACCAAGGCGACGAUCAGUAGCCGACCUGAGAGGGUGACCGGCCACAUUGGGACUGAGACACGGCCCAGACUCCUACGGGAGGCAGCAGUGGGGAAUAUUGCACAAUGGAGGAAACUCUGAUGCAGCGACGCCGCGUGAGUGAAGAAGUAAUUCGUUAUGUAAAGCUCUAUCAACAGGGAAGAUAGUGACGGUGCCUGACUAAGAAGCUCCGGCUAAAUACGUGCCAGCAGCCGCCGUAA
RNAcentral lists this ribosomal RNA (497 nucleotides) under uncultured bacterium. RNAcentral's name for it is "partial 16S ribosomal RNA". It matches the Rfam family "Bacterial small subunit ribosomal RNA", at positions 28 to 523 of the family's 1533-position model. The record is from RNAcentral.